Molecule: long non-coding RNA, 921 nt
Filed under: Homo sapiens (human)
Lineage: Eukaryota; Metazoa; Chordata; Mammalia; Primates; Hominidae
Description: non-protein coding lnc-PNMA5-3:2
Source: RNAcentral
AGGCUAAGGCAGGAGGAUCAUUUGAGUCCUAGAGUUCCAGACCAGCCUGGGCAACAUGGUGAAACCCUGUCUCUACAAAAAUUUAAAAAAAAAAAACUAGCUGGGUAUGGUGGCCUGUGACUGUAGCCCCAGCUACUCAGGAGCGGAGUGAGACUCUGUCUCAAAAAAACAGAAGUGAUUAGGACGCAGGCACACACAGACAGGGAUGAGCAUAUAAGGGCCCAGGGAGAAGAUGGAGUCUACCAGCCAAGGAGAGAGACUCAAGAGGAACCAACCUUGCCGUCACCUUGAUCUCUGCACAAAGUACAAGAAGGUAUUAGUUGUCCACAGACAAGAGAGCACCAUUAUCUGCCCAGAUUCUCAGGGAUCAGAAAUCAAGACAAAUCACGGCCCUUCCUGGAGUCCCACCCUUUCAUCAGCCAGAGAAGGCUGGAGCUCUGAGGAGAGGAGAGCUGUCCUAGAGCCUGGAGCCAGUUGGUGGCAACUCACCCAGUGCUCUUCUUGGCCGCUGACAGGACGUAGGAGUGCUCCCGGGGAGCUGUCCUCCUCAGAACACCGCUUGCAGCCUCUGACCUGGGGUGACACGGGAUGGGGGAGCAUCUGAUGGGUGCCAAGCUGGACAUGCUCUGCCAGCCUAGCCUGGGAUGGACUCGGGGUGACUUAGGGCCACCCCAGGGAGGCAAGGGGUGAGAGAAACCAGAUUUGCACCUGCUCCAAGGACUAUUCAAAGGAAAUGUAGAACCUGAAGGAAGGGCAGCCCAUGUUUAUGGAGCAUGUGGCAUGUGCCCGGCUCUGCGCCAGAUGCCAACAUCCUCGCAUUGGCUUAUUGCUCUUCUCAAUCCAGGAAAGUAGACGCUAGUAUCCUCUGUGAUUUACAGAUGAGGAAACUGAGUCCAAGAAGCUUUCAUUAUUUGCCCAAGA